GUGUCGUUCAGUUUCGUGGACUAAUAGUUACUCAGCUUCAAAUAUCCUAUAUGGUUGAUUUAAAUAAUAAUAAAAAAAUGUCACCGACGCCCCCUCCCGCCAGCUCUCAACCACAUCACAACUGUAAAAUAUAUAGGCCUUACAGAGAAUAUAUAAAUAAAUAUAUAGGCAUCAGGAUAGUGUUCGCCUUGGGCCUUGGAAUCACAGCAACAUCUUGUUUAUUUAUUUUUUACUAUAAUCUAUCCCACAUAAUAAAAGUAAUAAUAAAAGCAUAAUUUUAAGCUGAAUCACUAUACUGCGUUGAUGAACUUUAGGAAUAGUUUGUCCUCGUUAAGUGGAAUCGUGAUAGCCUACCUCAGCUGCUGAUUAAACGUGGAUGUGAAUCGUGUCUUGUGUGAACGAUGAAGAUGAGUGUCUCCCAUUUGGCUACUCAAGUUGUAUGUGUCAUAUCAACUUCUAAAAAGCCCCUCGUGUUUGAAGGUUACUUUGUGCAUCUCCAGGGGCUGUCAGCCAUGGGUCCACUGCAAAAUUUACAGCUCUAAAUCAAAGCAUAUGCCGCCAAUAAGGAAGAAACUCUGAAAACAGGGUGUAUGAUAGUAUCUGGGUGCCCCCUAGCGUAUGGAUAAUUUCUACCUCAAAAUACUCUCUUUAACGUGCAGGAGCCAUCUUAAAUAGAAAACGGGGUCUCCGGCUGUUCGUCUCUCGCUAACGCCAAAAGCGACGUGCGCUCAUUUUUAAUCUGAUUAUAGCUUUUGAGACUCGUUUCUAAUUGAAACGGACAUGGCACAGCUAUGGGUGUGCGUACACAUUUUUUAUUCGUGCAUGUUGCAGAAGAAGCGGAAUGUUCUUUGCGUAUUUUGCAGUCAGAUGUUUUUAAAAAGUGAGCUCUGUACUCUGCGAGCCAGAAGUCUUACGCAAAACGGACACGUAGGAAAAAACAACGAUACGUUUUGGAAUUUACUGAAAGCCAUUUUUGUUGCCUGGGGAAUUCUAAAGGACUAUAUGCUAUACUAUACUAGUAUGGUUACAGUAUGUAAGACACCACCCUAAUGUAUUCAUAGGCAUGGGACUUUAUGAGAGUUUGAAAAGUUAGUUUUUUUUCAAAAUGCAGAAUUGAGGUAUUUGAUGAUAUUGCAUUGGUGGCUACUAGAAACAAUAUAAGGCAAAUAUUUGAAAUUAUGAGCCCAGUAAUGUGACAUUUCAUAUAUUAGUCAUACAUGAAUUAUUGUGUUGAAUUCUACUUCUUCUUCCUCUGAUUAUUAUCAAUUAUAUUACUAUUUGGUACACUUAAGAAGAGCAGGAUUUAUUAUAAACUGUGCACAUUUGAUGUUUUUAAUUGUGCAAUAAAUACAAGAUUAAGUCUACAGUAGUUUACAUUUGUAACAGAUUUAUUAUCAUCAUGCUAAUAUGUUAAGUCAGAUACAAUGUCAUUUUCCACUGCCUGAAAAUGAAUUCAAGAAUCGCAUUUGAUGAACUAAAGAGUAAUACAUAUCAUUUUGCAGCAGAGAUUUCAAGUCAUUUAACUACUUUGUAUGUGUCAGUUUUUGUAGAAACUGUAGAUAAAGUCAAGUAUACUUUCCCAAGAAAUGUACAGUUUACUUAACAUUGUAAUCCACACUGUCAUGCAUAGUCUCUAAUGAUCUAUAUCAUUGUAUGUUAUUGUAUUCAAUUAACAUACUGAAUUGUGUUUUGCUUUAUCUGUAGUUGUACAAAUUAUGUAUAAUAGAGAGUAGUAUUAUAUUUUUGUAUCUCACAGUUAGCAGUGGUUGCAGCUCUACCUGAAGUGUAUAUAUAGUGUACAUAUGCUUAAUCUAUAGUGAAAUAAUUGUAAAAUAAACAUUAUGUAAAACACAGCACCUGUUAUUUUUAUUUAUUAAACUGUUCAGUAUAUUGUAAGUAAUUGUUUAGAUUAAAAUCAUUAUUCUAAGCACUUUACUGCAUGCUGUUAUGUGUAUAACAUCUUAAAAAUGCCUGCACUAAUGCGCAAGAGUAUUUUACAUUAGUCUUGUUUAUGAAUGGCAAAUUUCUAGUAAUUGAACCACUAUUUGCUCAUCCUGAAUGGGACUGGAAUGAACAAGUCUGUUGUAUACUUACACACUAUGACAAGCUACUUGGUGGUGAAUUACCACCUGUGCUUAUUCAUCUACUGCAUGGCAUACUCAAAAGAAAAGGGUAAUGUAUAAAGAAUAUUCAUUACAACUGAAAAUAAACACACACACACACACACACACACACACACACACACACACACACACACACACACCAUGUGCAAUGGAAUUUGAAAAUGACAUGAGACAACACUGAUUGUAGUACUCUCUGCCUCAUAGUGCAAAGCUCAGAUUAAUCUUUUCUAUAUACCUAAUGAAAAUGUCACAUCAUAAACAUGUCAUUUAUCUAUUGACAAUUGAUGUAUUAAAUAUUGUAUUGCUAUUUAUGUACUGAGCUUGUGUUCCUGCAUUAUAGCAUCUCAAUCAAGUGUACUUUGAAAGUAUUAUUUUUAUUAUUACCGCUAAGCUUUUGCAUUUGUUUGCAUUUUAAGAGAUCAAAAGAAAUUGAUACUAUUUAUUUAUGAAUUGUGGGCUACCAGGAACAGUUAAGCUGUAGAUAUGGAUGCCUUAUUGAACCAUGUCUAAGCUUAGGGAGUCCAUUAAUGCAUUUAUUAGAUGUGCAUAUGUCAGGGAUCAGUAUGAAGGAGGUGGAAAGACUGCUGCAGAUGCUGAUGAAGAUUCAGUGAAGAUACUAAGCAUAUUAACUAUAUAUAUGAUGAGAAUGACAGUACAGGGAAUUAUAGGUAUUCAGUAAUUUGUAAACAGGGGAAAUGAUUUUUGUAUAGGUAGGUUUGAUUCUAUUGCACUACUGCAUUGUCUUGUUCACCUCUAAAUAGAAAUUAGUAUAUUAGCAAACACUAUUUAGGCUAAUUGAUCUAAUUAAUUGCAGUUUCCAGUACUGCAUUAUGACUGUCAAAAUAGAUUUGAAUGUGAAAAUAUAUCAUGCUUAUGAGAAAUAAAUAAAAUAGUUAUUUAUCUUGUGUAGUCGUGUAGUCAUCCAUCAGUUGUGUAUUUUGUUGCGAGUUUUUAAAUGCGUAUGGUUUAAUGUCAACUGCACAGCAAUAAAUCGUGGACACAACACUGUGUAUUAUUCAUUAACAAAUAUUAAUGUAUAACAUGCCAGGGACAAACUGUGACAGAUUAUCUGACUUAAUGUCACAUUGAUGUUUAGUAAUUUUUUUAUUGUAUAUAUUUCACUAUACUGUAAUAUACAAGGAAGCAAAACAUUUUCAUCCAAAGAAAUUAAAAAAUGGUUGAUCAAACAAAAGCAUGAUGUACAUAUCAGUAGUACUGAUUCUAAACAGUGCUGCAUACUGAUUCUGUCACAUUAACAGCAGUUAAAUAAAUGUGUGCACUGUAUACUCAUUUGUGAUCUUUUGUUCUACUCUUUAUAAAAUUGUACAAAAUACCGCACAUAAAUCUUCUCUGUCUAAUAAAAUGUUGAGGAUAUCAACACAAGAUACUGCACCACUCCCAUUUUAUAUAAUAAAAAAGAACCAUUGUAUGCGAUAAUGCAAAGGGUUUCUCCCGUCAGUCUCCUCUUCAGGAGGUGAAAUGCACGCUCAAUCGAGUAAAGGUUUAAUGAUUGACUUGACCAGUCUAAAACUUUCCACUUUUUCCUCUUUGUUGUGUUGGCAGUGUAUUUAGGGUCACUGUCUUGCUGCAUGAUGAAGUUCCUCCCAUUAGAUUGGAUGCAUAUCUCUGUUGGCAUAGUCAAAUUGGCAGACACACAAAACACAAUGUUUGUGUAGACUUCUGAAUUAAUUCUGCUGCUACCAUCAUGAGUUAAAUCAUCAAUAAAGAUUAGUGAGCCCAUUUCAGAAGCAGCCAUGCAAGCCCAAGCCUUG
Ictalurus punctatus (channel catfish) is the source of this 3895-nucleotide long non-coding RNA. NCBI's taxonomy places the organism in Eukaryota, Metazoa, Chordata, Actinopteri, Siluriformes, Ictaluridae. The record is from Ensembl.